GAUGAACGCUAGCGGCAGGCUUAACACAUGCAAGUCGAGGGGUAACAGAGUAGCUUGCUAUUGCUGACGACCGGCGCACGGGUGCGUAACGCGUAUACAACUUGCCUUAUACAGGAGAAUAGCCCAGAGAAAUUUGGAUUAAUGCUCCAUAGUAUCACAGUCUCGCAUGAGAUUAUGAUUAAAGCUUCGGUGGUAUAAGAUGGGUAUGCGUUAGAUUAGCUAGUUGGUGAGGUAAUAGCUCACCAAGGCGACGAUCUAUAGGGGGCCUGAGAGGGUGAUCCCCCACACUGGUACUGAGACACGGACCAGACUCCUACGGGAGGCAGCAGUGAGGAAUAUUGGUCAAUGGACGCAAGUCUGAACCAGCCAUGCCGCGUGCAGGAAGACGGCCUUAUGGGUUGUAAACUGCUUUUAUAUAGGAAGAAACGUUUCUACGUGUAGAGAUUUGACGGUACUAUAUGAAUAAGGACCGGCUAACUCCG
RNAcentral lists this ribosomal RNA (482 nucleotides) under uncultured Flavobacteriales bacterium. RNAcentral's name for it is "bacterial SSU rRNA". It matches the Rfam family "Bacterial small subunit ribosomal RNA", at positions 28 to 505 of the family's 1533-position model. Lineage: Bacteria; Pseudomonadati; Bacteroidota; Flavobacteriia; Flavobacteriales. The record is from RNAcentral.